This 663-nucleotide ribosomal RNA is filed under the name Salmonella enterica subsp. enterica serovar Tennessee. RNAcentral describes it as "bacterial LSU rRNA". It matches the Rfam family "Bacterial large subunit ribosomal RNA", at positions 1 to 682 of the family's 2925-position model. The record is from RNAcentral. Lineage: Bacteria; Pseudomonadati; Pseudomonadota; Gammaproteobacteria; Enterobacterales; Enterobacteriaceae.
GGGUUGUGAGGUUAAGCGACUAAGCGUACACGGUGGAUGCCCUGGCAGUCAGAGGCGAUGAAGGACGUGCUAAUCUGCGAUAAGCGCCGGUAAGGUGAUAUGAACCGUUAUAACCGGCGAUUUCCGAAUGGGGAAACCCAGUGUGAUUCGUCACACUAUCAUUAACUGAAUCCAUAGGUUAAUGAGGCGAACCGGGGGAACUGAAACAUCUAAGUACCCCGAGGAAAAGAAAUCAACCGAGAUUCCCCCAGUAGCGGCGAGCGAACGGGGAGGAGCCCAGAGCCUGAAUCAGCAUGUGUGUUAGUGGAAGCGUCUGGAAAGGCGCGCGAUACAGGGUGACAGCCCCGUACACAAAAGCGCAUGUGCUGUGAGCUCGAUGAGUAGGGCGGGACACGUGGUAUCCUGUCUGAAUAUGGGGGGACCAUCCUCCAAGGCUAAAUACUCCUGACUGACCGAUAGUGAACCAGUACCGUGAGGGAAAGGCGAAAAGAACCCCGGCGAGGGGAGUGAAAAAGAACCUGAAACCGUGUACGUACAAGCAGUGGGAGCCCCACCACUAAGCCAGUGGUGAACUCCACAUACGCAUCCUUUGCUGAGGAUACGGUUAACGGAGCGAAAGCGACGUUCAACCGCAAAAGAAGCAGAGGGGGCUUAGUGGUGGGG